AGUGAUUUUUGUGGCCAGGAGAAGUAUUUUGUUUGGAUAAAAACACUUCCGGUCGGCCAUUUUGAAUCGCUAAUAUCGUCAUAUUUGAGGAUAAAUAUGCAUCAAAUUGGAACAGAUGGUUCUCCUGCAGUCCUGCAUCCUGCUGAGCGUGCAGACAAUCAGAGCUGCUGCAGAUCUGAUGCACUUCCAUCAGGGCCAGAAGAUCCUGUCAUACAACGUGGAGCUGAAUAACAAUAAUCGCACACAAUGUCACACAAUGUCACACAAUGUCACACAAUGACAGACGUCUGCAGGAACCUACCGUGUGACCCAGGAGACAGAGAAGACAUGGAGCUGUGGAGAGAAGUUUAAAGAAGAGAAGUGACGGUCCAACAAACGGGUCACAUAAAAACUCAGUAAACAAACAGGCAUCGACAGGAAAUCAACAAUCAGCUCCAGAACAAAGGACUCGGAGCAGUUCAGCUCAGAGGCGACAGACCGCUCCUCACAGACGACUUGAUGUGUUCUGAAGGCUGGAAAUACGKCGAAGGAGUUGUUGUAAAGACACAAAGCUGCUGGAAAGGUGCCUUUGGGCAAAACAAAGUCCUUCGGUUCCACAGCGAAAGGAACUGCUCUGCUUUGACAAGUCGGAGAAGGACGAGUCAAAACAGCUUCCUGUCUGAGAGACUUGACGCUCUGCAAAGACCCGUCAGCUCGACCCUUAAAGCCCAAACAUCUGAUAGUUCUGUUAAAGAAGGAGGAACCUGCAGGAAACUCAGGCUGAAACAGUUUCCACACAUCAAACUAAUAAAAUAAAGCUUCAUUUGGGAUUUUUACUCCUGUAGACCUGACAGGUAAUUCCCUUAAUCCUGUUUAUUCUGAAAGUUUAAAACUGUUCAUGAGACGUCAGAGAGGUCUGAAAGAGCUUUAAUGUUUUUUUUAUUACAUUUUUAAAAGCUGGGGUUUUAUUUUGACAAAYUUCAAACCCAAAACUAAAUAAUUUUAUUUUUCUCAGUAACACGUUUUUAUCAGUUAKUGGAUUAACGAGAAGUAAAACAGCUGAAUCACAUUAAAGAUAUGUUUUUAGUCACUUAUUUGAAACAAUCUGUGGCUAAAAACAAAAUGUUUUCUCUUCAAAAAAAGUCUGAAAAUCRUCUUUACUGUUGCAGCAGAACGAUGAAGAAACAGCAGUAAA
This is a long non-coding RNA of Austrofundulus limnaeus, 1174 nucleotides long. RefSeq lists it as uncharacterized. Lineage: Eukaryota; Metazoa; Chordata; Actinopteri; Cyprinodontiformes; Rivulidae. The record is from RefSeq and is a predicted model, not a curated record. The transcript has 3 exons.